This 433-nucleotide ribosomal RNA is filed under the name uncultured bacterium. RNAcentral's name for it is "partial 16S ribosomal RNA". It matches the Rfam family "Bacterial small subunit ribosomal RNA", at positions 29 to 507 of the family's 1533-position model. The record is from RNAcentral.
AACGAACGCUGGCGGCAUGCCUAACACAUGCAAGUCGAACGGAACCUUCGGGUCUAGUGGCGCACGGGUGCGUACCGAGUGGUAACCUGCCCUUGGGUUCGCAAUACCUCCCCGAAAGAGGUGCUAAUACCGGUUCAUCUCUUCCGACCAAAGAUGUUUCGCCUUUGGAUGGGCCCGCGUUGGUUUCGCGAGUUGGUAGGGUAAAAGCCUACCAAGGCGUCGAUCCAUAGCUGGUCGGAGAGGAGGAUCCGCCACACUGGGAAUGCGACACGGCCCAGACUCGUACGGAAGGGAGCAGUGGGGAAUAUUGGAGGAGGGGCGAAGGCGUGAUACAGCAACGCCGGGUGAGUGGUGAAGGCCUUAGGGAUGUAAAGUUCUUUGAGCCGGGAUGAUAAUGACAGUACCGGGAGAAUAAGCACCGGCUAACUCCGUG